GAAACACGGACCAAGGAGUUCAACUGGAUUGCGAGUCGUAGAGUUUAACACAAAACUCAUUUAUUUUUUAAUAAAUACGGCGUAGCGAAAGCAAAAUCGUGCGAUGUAUUUUGUAACAGAUAUACUGCAGCACAGGCUGAUUACGUAUAUGCGUAAGGACCUAGUUCAUGCGUAUACUUAAAUUCUCCUCUCGUGGGAUUAUUUAAGAUUAAUUAAGCUAAAGAGCACUUUAGUUGAGACCCGAAAGAUGGUGAACUAUGCCUGGACAUGGUGAAGCCAGGUGAAAACUUGGUGGAAGCUUGCGUUGUGCGGAACUGACGUGCAAAUCGUUGCCGCCUGACCUAGGUAUAGGGGCGAAAGACUCAUCGAACCAUCUAGUAGCUGGUUCCCUCCGAAGUUUCCCUUAGGAUAGCUCGAAUUUAUAUCAAUUACCCAAAUGAGUAACACAAGGGUAAAGCAAUGAGACGCGGUAUCUGUGGGUCUUAUUUAAAUGACCUCGGCCUUCUCUCAAACUUUAAAUCUGUGCGAGUACGUGUAUUUACUUCGAAAAUAAUAUUUAUUUAUUAUUGUGAAAUCACGUUAUAUUGUAUCAAAAAUUCGUAGUGGGCCAUUUCUGGUAAGCAGAACUGGCGAUGAGGGAUUCAACCUGACGUUCUCAAGAUAAGCCGGGCUUAAUCAUAUCUGCUCCAACCUUCCGAUAAACGCGA
This 707-nucleotide ribosomal RNA is filed under the name Spiroplectammina sp. RNAcentral's name for it is "eukaryotic LSU rRNA". It matches the Rfam family "Eukaryotic large subunit ribosomal RNA", at positions 656 to 1368 of the family's 3401-position model. Lineage: Eukaryota; Foraminifera; Textulariida; Sproplectamminidae. The record is from RNAcentral.